CCUGACUGCCCGGGAGAAAACGUGUCCCGUGCCCUAAGCCUGUGGAACGAUGGCGGGAUCCUAGGGGCUCAGGGAGGCACUCCCGGGGUGGCAAAGGAAGAGGGGUGAGGGGCAGAAGGAACAGGAAUCUUUCAGGAGCUGAAAGAGAGCUGGGUGAGGUGGCUGGAGCUCCAAGGGCGAGAAGCCCGUCGGUCCAGGGCACCCUGGCGACAGGCUUGACCAGGCGACAAGACCGUCAGUGGCUUCAGAGCUGGUAGGACUUCCUGCUACUCCGGGGACAGUCAGCUUGGGGCGUCAGAGAGGCUUCAGGAAGAUGUAAGCGAAGACCUGGGGGUGAGAAGGGCCAGAGAGGAAUCUAAGCGGUGAGAGGCGUGGGGCUAGACUAGAGAGCGCGCAUUCUAGAAAUGGGGAGGGAGACCUCCUUAGAGGGAGAACGGACAGUUGGUGAGAGGCGUGGGGCUAGACUAGAGAGCGCGCAUUCUAGAAAUGGGGAGGGAGACCUCCUUAGAGGGAGAACGGACAGUUGGAGAGAGGCAGUGAGCUGCGGAGAUAAAGAAGAACUCAUAAACCCAGGAAAGGAGGUUGCUGAGAAGCCAUCACCGGGAUCUCAUCAGGAAAGUCUCCCCGGUUGGCUCUGUAGGACUGGGAAAGUGGCCCGGGAGGCAGGGAGCCCGCCCAGAGCUGGUUGAGAGAUCCAGGCAAGAGAGGACACGACCCGGAGCGGAGCAGUGGCUCUGAGUGUGGAGGGAAGUAACAAGUGAGAGUAGUAUUGGGUGGAAUCCACUGGAUCUUAUGACCAGUGGACUGCGGUGGACAAGCAAAGAGAAAUUACAAAUGUCACCGAAACUUUCGGUUUGGGCAGCUGGGUUGAUGGCAGUGGGAAUCACGCAAAGGGAGUUGUGGCAAGCUGGGAUAGGGAGAGGCUGGCUGCAGGGAAAGAAAAAAUAAGUUCCAGGUUGAACGUUUUCAGCUUGAGGUGUCCGUUUUUAGGUGUCUGUGGAGCACCCCAAGAGCAGCGGCCCCCUCCACUUCUUCACCCAUAUCCUCACUGGCUUUGUCUCUGUGCCAUGGGCUUGCUCUCACCCUAACCACCCAGGACCACACCCAUAUAAGGGUUCAACUUGCUGUGCAGCCUUAAAAAGAAGUGGUUAAAAAUAAACUUCCUAGGCCCUUUGCAUCAGGCUUCCUUGCUAAUUAUUCUUUGCUUAGCAAAGAUAAGAGCCUGCUUUGGGGAGUACUAUGAACAGGGCAGGUAGUGCAAGCUAUCUCCUAUUAUUUAGACAGUGCCUUUAAGCUCCGCUUUCCAUGAACUUUCAAAUCAUGUCAUUGUUUCAACAAAAAUACAUUCAGGACAUUUUCACCAACCUAUACCUCUUCUUCUCUGCCAUGCUCCCAUGCCAAAUAAAUACAUACAUUUUAAUACAUUUGUGUACAUGUGUUUAUAAAUAUGUGUAUGUGUAGAGGUUAUUGUGCUUGUGCUUAGUCAUUCAGUCGG
This 1495-nucleotide long non-coding RNA is filed under the name Bos grunniens (domestic yak). Its description in RNAcentral is "lncRNA (ENSBGRG00000004122.1)". Lineage: Eukaryota; Metazoa; Chordata; Mammalia; Artiodactyla; Bovidae. The record is from RNAcentral.